RNAcentral lists this long non-coding RNA (203 nucleotides) under Lathyrus oleraceus (garden pea). RNAcentral describes it as "Pisum sativum (pea) long non-coding RNA (PSAT_LNC034445)". The record is from RNAcentral. Lineage: Eukaryota; Viridiplantae; Streptophyta; Magnoliopsida; Fabales; Fabaceae.
UAGUCAACACGCCCCAUCCAGGCUACACCCCUUCCUUAGUUUUUUUUCUUUUAAUUGGGCUAAGCCUUUUUUUACAUUGGCGCCACCUUUUGCAUGUUUUACCCCCCUUUUAUUUUAUUUUAUUUUAUUAAUUGAUUAACUAGUCAAAUAUUCGUGCGUCCGCACGGGUUUAAAUUAUUUUGUACAUCAUAAUUAUAUUCAAA